RNAcentral lists this ribosomal RNA (352 nucleotides) under Neoscutopterus angustus. Its description in RNAcentral is "partial 12S ribosomal RNA". RNAcentral also lists the same sequence under 1 other name. Lineage: Eukaryota; Metazoa; Arthropoda; Insecta; Coleoptera; Dytiscidae. The record is from RNAcentral.
UUUAAAUGUAAAUUAAUAUACUAAAUUAGUAAUAGUUAAGUUCUUAAAAUUUAAAGAUUUUGGCGGUAUUUUAGUCUAUUCAGAGGAACCUGUUCUAUAAUUGAUAAUCCACGAUUAAUUGGACUUAAUUUAAUAAUUUGUAUAUCGUCGUUUAUAAAUAAUUUUAAAAGAAUUAAAAUUUUUAAGAUUUUUUAUUAAAAAGUAUAUCAGAUCAAGGUGCAGUUUAUAUUUAAGAAUUAAUGGGUUACAAUAAAUUUAUUUAUACGGAUUAAUAAAUAAAAUUUUAUUAUGAAGGAGGAUUUGAUAGUAAUAAAAUUUAAUUUAAUUUUAUGAUUUUAGCUCUAAAAUAUGU